Non-coding RNA from Sus scrofa (pig), 2691 nucleotides. The record is from RefSeq and is a predicted model, not a curated record. Lineage: Eukaryota; Metazoa; Chordata; Mammalia; Artiodactyla; Suidae.
CCACGGUGGAGUUGUCCGUGUCGAUGGUGUAGAGGAUGCCCUCGUAGCGGAUCUGCGCCUUGGAGAUGAGGCUGAUCUUGCUACCCAGGCGAGGGCGCACACCUCCAGCACUACCACCUUGGGCAUCACUUGGGCAUCACUGAGCCUGGGAGUGCAGAGAGAGGAGCUGAGAAGCUGGAAAACCCCUGCAAGUUGGACUCUGCCUUCGUUUCUCCUUCACCUGCGGCACAAGGAGCUUCCCAGGCGAGGGGCUGAAUCGGAGCUGUAGCCACUGGCCUACACCACAGCUCAGGGCAACGCCGGAUCCUUAACCCACUGAGCAAGGCCAGGGAUCGACCCUGGGUCCUCAUGGAUGCCAGUCAAGUUUGUUUCUGCGGAGCCACAACGGGAACUCAUCUCUCCUUUUGCCAGAGGGAGAUUGCAGCUGUCCUGCCCGUCUCACCAGUGGCUGUGAGGACCCAGAAAGUGACACUGGCCAUGGGAUUUUGAGAGGCGCUGGGGGCCUGGCCACGGGAGACGGCCAGUGUGCGGGAUGACAGAAGAAGCUGUCCAGAUUCCCACUGCAAUCGUGAGCCACUUACUAAGACCCUGCUGAGUGUGGGGAGCGUGUCCCUUACUAUGGACAGGUGUGCAGGGCUGGACACCGGACUCUGCCUGGGGUUCCACCACCUCUAGUGUCCUGUGGCAGAUGAGGGGCCCAGCUCCCCAGAAAGUCACUCCGUGACUCUGAUGUGCACCUGAGAAGGAAUGCCAGCCCGGCCGCUGAUUUCACAGGUACCAGUGCUCAGGAGGAGCCAAACAAGACGGGUGAGUGGAUGGAGUGCCCGGCGUGACUCAGCGGGUUAAGAACCCGACGCUGUCCCUGUGAGGAUGCAGGUUCAAUCCCUGACCUCCAUCCGUGGGUUGAGGAUCCGGUGUUGCCAUGGCUGUAGCGUGGUCCCCAGCUGCAGGUCCGAUUCAGCCCUGGUUUGGGAACUUCCAUAUGCUGCAGGUGGGGCCGUGAAAAGAAAGAAAGGAAAAAAAAAAAGAUGAUUUGAUUCAAAAUAUGCUAACAGUAGCUCGGUGGUCCAUAGAUAAAGCGGCAGUUGAGUCUGUGGUCCAAAGCAGGGGACAUGCCAGCAAGGCAGGACCUCCCCUGUCCCCUCCUCUCCUCCAGUGCGGGCAGUUUGGGCAGGGCUGGCUUUGAAGGGACUCUUACGAGGGGUCUUCCGGGCAGGUAAGGGGCUGCGAGGCCCGAGGCAGGUGUGCUCAGGGGCUGAGGGGCUGGGAGUAAGGGCAGGAGGGGGGACGGUUGGUCCUGCCCAGCCGGGUUCUGCCCGAGGUCUGCGCCCCCGCCCGGGGCCCGAGGAGCUGCGCUCCCAAGCACGGUGGGCUGAGGCUCCACAUCUUUGGCCCUCCUUCCCCUUCUCUGGCUUCUCCCCCGUCCCUCCUCCUCCAUCUCCUCCCCCCACACACCCCCCCUUCCACUUCUUUCCCUCCCUCACCUCUGCGGCUCCUCUCCCGCCCGGGGCCCCGGGCCUCGGCCCCCCUUCCCAGGUGCAGCUGGAUGGGAGCAGGGAGCAGAGUCGAUGGCUGGCUGACCCGUCACCAGGUUCCCGGGGUCAGAGUGCAGCAUGGCAGCCCCUCAGAAACAGGGAGAAAGUGCCUAGAGAACAUCCCGGAAACGGGAAAGUGGACAGGCCCGUGGGCUUUCUUCUCCUGGUGAGGAUGAAGCCUCUGGACACCGAGGGCUUGAGGAACUCAGGAGCAGCUGAUUUACAAGCCGCACCCACAGCUGCACCCACGUGGAAGGUCCCAGGCUAGGAACCAAAUCCAAGCCACAUCUGUGAUCUGUGCUGCAGCUGCAGCAGCGCUGGGUCCUUAAGCCACCCUGUCACAGUGGGAACUCCGUCAUUUUUACUUAUCAAUACAAGAUGGCUCUCAGAGCCCAGUGGUGACAUGCAUAUCUGUUUGGCAGCAGACCCAGCACACACUGAAAUGUUUUCACAGCAGAGCUGAACCCCGUGACCGCCAGCAGGAGAUUGGACCGGUCUGGGCAUUGCACAGACCAGACUGGCCACACAGACAGGGCCACCAGGGCAAGAGAGGCAGGGGCAAAGCCCUGUCCUCUCUGCAGUCGCCCGGGACCUAAUGGUGAGGAGACCAGCCUGGGCCAGCUGCUUGGCCAGGGUCACACAGCCAGAAAGCGGCCUUGUUGGGAUUCCAGUCGAGUUUUGGGCUGCUGACCUGGACACCUGCCUCCGAGCCCUCCCUGCUCAGCCCUGGGAGAGACCGGAUGUGCUUUUCUCAGCCAAGGAGCUCACACUCUCCAGGAGCCCGGAUGCAGGCUGAGCUGGGGCUGAAGCCCGGCCAUGGGGAAGGUACUUCCUCCUGUCCUGUCUGGACCCCACCCAAAGGGUGCAGGGUGCAGGGAGUUGCCAUAGAACCCAGAGGCUUCCCUGGGGAGCAUCUUAGGAUGUGAACUCCAGGUCAGCUCCAAAGCCAGGCCCUUGUGUUUGCACCCGCCUGACAGCACAAGUUUCCGGCCUGGCAGAACCACAGCCCUGAGAAUGAAGUCAUGUAAAUAAAGAAGCGGUAGAGGCGUUCCUGUCGUGGAGCAGCGGAAACAACUCAGACUAGGAACCAUGAGGUUGCGAGUUCGACCCCUGACCUAGCUCAGUGGCUGAGGAUCUGGUGUAGCUGUGAGCUGUG